Molecule: long non-coding RNA, 1877 nt
Organism: Haliotis rubra (blacklip abalone)
Lineage: Eukaryota; Metazoa; Mollusca; Gastropoda; Lepetellida; Haliotidae
Exons: 2
Source: RefSeq, a predicted model, not a curated record
UCAGCAUUUGCGUUACCUCACUUCAGCAAAUUUGCUCCAAGAUAUUUUAAGUGUUAUGUCACUUUGAGAUUGCUGUAGGUUUAUUAGAAGUGAUUGUUUGAGGCAGGAAAAGACUGAAAUGGUCGUAACAUGCAGUAGUGGCCAAUCUCCACCAGAGACUUGAUCAUUUUAGAAGUUUUGUGAGCGGGUUAAGCAGCUGAAUUUGUGUGCUAGCCAUGAGGUGCCUGACUCUGAGGGCGUGAGUUCGAAUCCUAGAUGGGGCUCAACCCAGCAAUAGUACUAGAAUCUGUACUUUACUGAGAAAGUGUAAUCCCAAGUAUAACAUAUGUUACAUCUGAAAACUUUCUAAAUGGCAUUGUGUAUUCAUAGCAGAGUGUGUGCCUCAGUCAAGACAUCUGCGGUGAGUUUCAGGAGUGCAGGUAUCAUCGCACCUGUUAGAUACUGGUGCGUUCACUAAUUUAAACCAUUUGUAUUGCCUUUUCUGCUUCUAUAUAUUAUUUUCAUUUUUCUUUGAUCAUGUUCAGUUCGGUUUAGUUACGUGAUUUCAGAGUUAACACACGGUAAUAAAAGAAUACAGAACCAAACAUGUGAUUUUUUUACAAUGAAUGUUGUGGUCCAUACUUUUUGUACAGAUUGUGUUUUCCGUAUUUCUACUAGUAUCAAGUUUGCGUUUUUGCAUGUUUCUGUGUCCUUGGAAUGAACACCUGUUGUGCUAACUUUUCUUUUUGAGUUUUUAUUCAUAAACUCUGUUAUAUUGUCAGACGUACAGUGUUAACUAUAAGCAUUUAGUUUUCAUGUUUAUGGGAAAGGUUUUCAAGAAUAUUAUUAUUGAUUAUGUUAUGGAAUUUAACAGUAUUUUAGAUCAUUCUAACCAACAUGGAAAUAGUUCUGACAAGCAUCAGCAUGGCACAGACAGACCAACACGGUAAAGGUACUCACAAACAAUGUCAGAGUACUGACGAACACGGGCACAGUACUGACGAACAUGGUUACAGUACUGACGAACAUGGUAACAGUACUGACAAACAUGUAAACAGUACUGACGAACAUGGUUACAGUACUGACGAACAUGGUCACAGUACUGACGAAAAUGGUAACAGUACUGACGAAAAUGGUUACAGUACUGACGAACUUGGUUACAGUACUGACGAAGAUUGUGACAGUACUGACGAACGUGGUAACAGUACUGACGAACAUGGUAACAGUACUGACGAACAUGGUAACAGUACUGAUGAAUAUGGUUACAGUACUGACGAACAUGGUUACAUGGACAGAUUCUGUGUUUACAUUUUGUAUUUUCCAUGUGUUAUGCAUAUCCUGUAUAUAGUGUUGUAAUGAAAUAAUGUACAUGUAUUCAUGUGAGCACGACAUGAACCAGCGGGUACUGACAAACAUGACCACCAUUGUACAUCAACAUGGACAGAUUCUGUGUUUACUUUUUGUAUUUUCCAUAUGUUAUGUAUAUCAUGUCUAUAAUGUUGUAAUGAGAUAAUGUGCAUCUCUUCAUGUGAGCACGACAUGAAUCAACAUGGCCGGGUACUGACAAACAUGACCACCAUUGCACAUGAGCAUGGACAGAUUCUGUGUUUACUUUUUGUACUUUCCAUAUGUUAUGCAUAUCAUGUAUAUAAUGUUGUAAUGAGAUAAUGUAGUCAGAUGAGAAGCACGGCCAUGGUACUGACAAUCGUGAACACAGCACUAUCCAACAUGAGCAUACUAUUGCACAUACUAUGUUCAUAAGGACAGUGCUGACUGACAUGGGAACAUGGGCAGAUACUGAUGUUCAUUAGGACAGUGCUGACUGACAUGGGAACAUGGUCAGAUACUGAUGUUCAUAAGGACAGUGCUGACUGACAUGGGAACAGGGGCAGAUAUUG